ACUCCUACGGGAGGCAGCAGUGGGGAAUAUUGGACAAUGGGCGCAAGCCUGAUCCAGCCAUGCCGCGUGUGUGAAGAAGGCCCUCGGGUUGUAAAGCACUUUCAGUGAGGAAGAAAGCUUGUCGGUUAAUACCCGGCAAGGACGACAUCACUCACAGAAGAAGCACCGGCUAACUCCGUGCCAGCAGCCGCGGUAAUACGGAGGGUGCGAGCGUUAAUCGGAAUUACUGGGCGUAAAGCGUGCGUAGGCGGCUUGGUAAGCCGGUUGUGAAAGCCCCGGGCUCAACCUGGGAACGGCAUCCGGAACUGUCAGGCUAGAGUGCAGAGAGGAAGGUAGAAUUCCCGGUGUAGCGGUGAAAUGCGUAGAGAUCGGGAGGAAUACCAGUGGCGAAGGCGGCCUUCUGGACUGACACUGACGCUGAGGUACGAAAGCGUGGGUAGCAAACAGGAUUAGAUACCCUGGUAGGCUCUG
This 471-nucleotide ribosomal RNA is filed under the name uncultured bacterium. RNAcentral describes it as "bacterial SSU rRNA". It matches the Rfam family "Bacterial small subunit ribosomal RNA", at positions 335 to 799 of the family's 1533-position model. The record is from RNAcentral.